UGGGUAACCUGCCUCAAAGAGGGGAAUAGCCUCCCGAAAGGGAGAUUAAUACCGCAUAAUAUGUUUAAGUCGCAUGACUUUAACAUCAAAGGAUUUUCUUUUAGAAAUUCCACUUUGAGAUGGACCCGCGGCGCAUUAGCUAGUUGGUGAGGUAACGGCUCACCAAGGCAACGAUGCGUAGCCGACCUGAGAGGGUGAUCGGCCACAUUGGAACUGAGACACGGUCCAGCUCCGUAGGAGG
RNAcentral lists this ribosomal RNA (241 nucleotides) under uncultured bacterium. RNAcentral's name for it is "partial 16S ribosomal RNA". It matches the Rfam family "Bacterial small subunit ribosomal RNA", at positions 118 to 346 of the family's 1533-position model. The record is from RNAcentral.